This 403-nucleotide transfer-messenger RNA is filed under the name Bacteroides sp. It matches the Rfam family "transfer-messenger RNA". From Rfam's summary of the family: Bacterial tmRNA, also known as 10Sa RNA or SsrA, is named for its dual tRNA and mRNA-like properties. Its role is to liberate the mRNA from a stalled ribosome. Lineage: Bacteria; Pseudomonadati; Bacteroidota; Bacteroidia; Bacteroidales; Bacteroidaceae. RNAcentral also lists the same sequence under 1 other name. The record is from RNAcentral.
GGGGAUGACUGGCUUUGACAGCAUGUAGAGGCGAUAAGUAAGCAUGCAGAGUUUUGGUGUUGAAACUCUAUAAUACCAACAGCAUCGAACUAUAAUUGGCGAAAAUAACAAUUACGCUCUCGCUGCGUAACCCGAAUAGAGUAAGGUUCCUUAAUUCUCCUCACAGGUAGGAGAACGAGACAUCAGCCCAUUGCCCCGUUCCGAGACGUUUGGACAAGCUGGUGCUAAGAAAAUCGGAAAUAGGACCUGUGCAGCCUUGACACAGGCCCGAAACCAAAAGGCUAAGGUUGCAGUUGGUAGUCGUGAGCCUGCUGCAACUCGAAAACCAAGUCAAUGACUAAGCAUGUAGAAAGCCUAUUGACUCCAUGUUUGGACGAGGGUUCGAUCCCCUCCAUCUCCACUU